AAUAGUGUGAUUCUUUUAUUUUGUACAGUACUCCACUAUAUUUGGCAUGUUACUGUAGCGACAGUAAAAUUAAAUAUAUAC
This 81-nucleotide small RNA is filed under the name Arabidopsis thaliana (thale cress). RNAcentral's name for it is "ATSL056640". Lineage: Eukaryota; Viridiplantae; Streptophyta; Magnoliopsida; Brassicales; Brassicaceae. The record is from RNAcentral.